GACGAACGCUGGCGGCGUGCUUAACACAUGCAAGUCGAACGGAAAGGCCCUGCUUUUGUGGGGUGCUCGAGUGGCGAACGGGUGAGGAACACGUGUGUAACCUGCCCUUGACUUUGGGAUAACUUCAGGUAACUGGGGCUAAUACCGGAUAGGAGCUCCUGCUGCGUGGUGGGGGUUGGAAAGUUUCGGCGGUAGGGGAUGGACUCGCGGCUUAUCAGCUUGUUGGUUGGGUAGUGGCAUACCCAGGGUUUGACGGGUAGGCGGCCUGAGAGGGGGGACGGCGACAUGGGGACUGAGAUACGGCCCAGACUCCUACGGGAGGCAGCAGGGGGGAAUAUGGCACAAUGGGCGGGAGCCUGAUGCGACAACGCCGCGGGCGGGAUGACGGCCUUCGGGUUGUAAACCGCUUUCGCCUGUGACGCAGCGUGAGUGACGGUAAUGGGUAAAGAAGCACCGGCUAACUACGUG
RNAcentral lists this ribosomal RNA (468 nucleotides) under uncultured bacterium. Its description in RNAcentral is "partial 16S ribosomal RNA". It matches the Rfam family "Bacterial small subunit ribosomal RNA", at positions 28 to 507 of the family's 1533-position model. The record is from RNAcentral.